Molecule: long non-coding RNA, 1978 nt
Filed under: Setaria italica (foxtail millet)
Lineage: Eukaryota; Viridiplantae; Streptophyta; Magnoliopsida; Poales; Poaceae
Description: long non-coding RNA (SITA_LNC004826)
Source: RNAcentral
AUAGAGAAUAGCAACACUUGUUUUUGCAGGAGAACUAUACAGUGUUUUAAAUAGAAGCCAGAAAGAGAGAGUAGUAAGAGUGGUAGAGAACACACCAGCUUAAAAAAGGAGAUGCAGGACAAUGCUUUAAAAGAAAACAAAAACUACCAGCUACCCCCAUGGUCACAUGCUACGAAACACGGAUACUCCACCUGGGGACCGUAUCCCGUAUCGGAUACGUAUCCGAUACGGAUACGCCCCGGAUACAUAUCCGUGGUGUAUCCACGUAUACCCGAUUAAAUGGGCCGAAAACUUCGGAUCGGAAACGUCUCCGCGCCUGGAUUCGGCCCAGCCGGCCCAACAUCACAGCACAUCCCACCUCCUGCCCUACUCCCGUGACCCGUCGGGCGUCGGCUCUCCCACGCGCAGCCGCCUCACGCAGCGCAUCGCCGCAUUCUCCCGCUCGACCUGACGGCUGACGCAGCGCCUCCGCCUCUCGUCGGCCGCCGUCCGCCGUCCGCCGUCCGCUGGCCGCCGUCCGUGAGGCCGCCUUCUGCCAGCCGCCGUCCGCCUCCCGCGGCCACGGGCCGCGAGGCCGCCUCCCGCCGGCCGCAGGCUGCCUCCCGUCGGCCUCCGUUCGCCCGUGAUUACUCCCGUCGGCCUCCGGCGUAAGGAGCCCCAGCCCCUGUUCAGGUGCGUGACUUCCUCUGAUAGUGGUAGUGCAGGCCUCCCGUGAACCGUGAGUUCCUCCCAGUAAUGGUAGCAUAGCAUCCGUAAAGUGCAUAGAGAUUUACAUUUUCUGUGUAGUGUAUCCAGGCAAUUUGGAAGUAUAAUCCAUAGUCUACAGAAUAAGGGCCCAUGCAAGCAUGGAUGGUGGAUUAAGUUCAGGGGCAGUGUGAUCUUUAUAAUGUUGGCUAUUGCACAGUUGUUGAUUAUCCUUUCUUUUCAAUACUUAACCGGUUCAAAUACAAUUGCUUGGAGAAUAGUACCAUAUAGAUUGCAAGUAGGAGGUAACGUCAUGAUAAUUGGCCAAUCUCCAGAAUCUGGAUAUGAGUUUAUAUUGAUUGAUUGCAGUCCCAGGCUCCCAUCCUCUCCUAAAUUAGAACCUGCUAUCAUGUUAUUCUCAGUGUAAUAGACCUUAAAUGUCUCUAUGUUGAAUUUGAACAUCUAUUUUGCAAUUUAAUAUGCAUUGUUAUUUAUUUAUUAAAAAAAUAGUUAAAACGUAUCCGCGUAUCGGGUUGUUUAAGAAAUUGCCGUAUCCGCGUAUCCGUAUCCUUCCGAUACCGAUACGCGUAUCCGUAUCCGUGCUGCAUAGGUCACAUGAAUGACUUAUGAUGCUCCAUAUGAUACAGCUCACAAUAAAAUCAGCAAGCAUAAGUUUCUCAAAAAAAAUGCAGAAUCAAUCAAGGAGUUUGUUUGAGGUGUGAUUAGCAUGAUGCAAGCCAUGUCAACACAAUAUUUUAAGUUCCUAUCAUCUUACAAAAUAUUGUUUAAAAGUUCCAGGUGCAAAGACUCCACUUAGGCAAUGUAGGGGCAAUGGGACACAUCGUGGAUUCCGGAUAAAACACAGAAAUCACUUAGGCCAUAAAGGGGCAAUGGGACGUAUCAUGGAUUCCAGAUGAAACACAGACAUCACUUAGGUAAUUCUCCGGAAAAAAAUAAAAACAUGUUUAAAGAUGUCACAUUGUCUACGAACCAUUUGCCACGGAAACAAUACAAUGGUUCAUCAAUAACAAUGAACAAUGUGUGUCGAUGUCCCUAAAGUAACGUGGGAACUGCUCGCUUGAAGAACAGAGCAGAGCCUUUACUCUUUAGGUUUCCACAAUGCAAUCCAUUCUUGCAUGAUGGGACACUUGUGCUUAAUGCCAAUACAUGCUUAGCACUAGCAAUCAUAAAGCUCCAACAAAGUCAUAUAAGCCGACUUAAUUCACCACCGACUACAUCAAAUGCACAGCUAAAUAAUGAGGAAGCAAUCAACUCGCAAUGAAACAAGGAUCCA